Long non-coding RNA from Centropristis striata (black sea bass), 1178 nucleotides. RefSeq lists it as uncharacterized. The transcript is spliced from 3 exons. The record is from RefSeq and is a predicted model, not a curated record. NCBI's taxonomy places the organism in Eukaryota, Metazoa, Chordata, Actinopteri, Perciformes, Serranidae.
UCCAGAUAGAGUUCAGCUCCAAAUCUGUCUGGGAGGAGUUCGGCUGCCUCCUGUGUGACGGGCCGAUAGAGUGGUUGUGUCAGCAGCCUGUCGGUUUCCUGCACUCUCCAGAAUGUCCUGCAUACAUACUGAACUCCUUCGAGCUGAGCGGCGAGCUGCGGAUUGUGAUGUUUGUGGAGACGGAGGACCAGAUGAGUGUGAUGGAGAAGGCCCGGCGCCUCAUGGAGCCCUGAUCAUCACCAACCAUCAGGUUUCAUCUUCAUCAGCUGAGAUAGUAACCUGCUGCUGUGACUUUAUAGUAUUAUUAUUAUUAUUUUGAUUAAUAUAAAUGAUCUCUUCAUUCUGCUGAGUCAGCAUUUGAAUUCUUAUUACUUUUAAUGUUCACUGCAGCCUCGUCAGUUCAGCUGAUGUUUCAUUGAUUUAUUCAGCAGUUUACAUUUUCAUGAUUUUAUUUUAAUACUUUUAUUGAAAGUGUAUUUUAACAAAAACAGGAAAAAGAUUUUUAUCAACUGAAACAAACUUUUUAACAAUUUCUGGUAAUUCAGAAUUAUUUAGUUUUUUAAUCUACAUUUUUAAAUAUUUGUGUGAAUAUGUAUUAACUUACUAUAUUUAUAUAUUUUUUAUUUAAAUCUGUCGGCUUGAUUUCAUCAUAAACACAUUUUAGACACUUUAUAUUUAAAACUAAAUGUUGCACUUUGGAUGGAAACUGAGUAAAAAUAUGCAGCGUGUUACUGAAUAUUAAUUGUAAUUUAUUAUUUUUUGUUUGAAUUCAAUCUUACAGUGAAUGUUUGGUACUAAGCACAGUCAGCAUUUAUUGAAACUGUUUUGCACAAAAAAAGAAACUUGAAUUGUAUCAACUUUCUUUUAAACACUUUGAUAAACUGAGAAAUGUGAAAUAAAUCAGUGAAAGAAAACUUUGGACUCAGAACAUUUUUAUAUUAUCAGUUUUCAAUAACACACGCACACACACACACACACACACACACACACACACACACACACACACACACACACACGCGUCCCUUUCAGGAGAAAUAAACUUUAUUAUGAACGUUUGUUUAUUUGAUUUUAUGUUUUGUUAUAUGUUAUGUUGUUAUGUUAUGAUAUAUUAAUAUUCACUUGUUUUAAUCAACAAGCAAAACUUUUGUCACAUUUGCAUUUGAUUCGUGUGUUUUUUU